AUGGAGAACCCUGCAUAUAUUGCAACCGAGCAAGAAGUUGGUACAUCUCCCUGUACUAUAAAACAUGGAAAGCAUGUAACAGCGGGAGAAAGACAAACGUUGCGACGCCGUCGUAACAAAGAAUUCGCAGCAAGACAGAUGAAAUCAUCACAAGAAGAUAGAUCCAUGUUGGAAAAUGACAAUGAUGACAAAGAACCUCUGGAACAACCAGAAGUCAUGAUUAAUGGUAAAAUCUAA
Molecule: ribosomal RNA, 237 nt
Filed under: Triticum aestivum (bread wheat)
Lineage: Eukaryota; Viridiplantae; Streptophyta; Magnoliopsida; Poales; Poaceae
Description: partial small subunit ribosomal RNA
Source: RNAcentral